UAAGCUUAUAUCAAAAUAUUGUACGCAGUUUUGACAUCAUAUAUCAUAUAUAUAUAUAGUGUUAAUAAAUCUGUCUAUAUUAAUCUAAUUAGUAUUUCCUUGAUUUGGUUAUAAAUUUCUUUGAGUUUUCCGCGGGGAAAUAUAUUCCUGUGGUCCCGACAGUGUUGAGUGAGUGGAGUACUUUUUGUAUUUAAAUAUUGUAAAAUAAUGAAAAGAUAAGCCACUUACUGAAAUCUACGGUACAUAUUCGUUUUAUCAAUAAAGAAUCAAAAUGAACGGCCUAGAACGAGAGAGAGAGAGAGACGUACGAGAAGGGAGAAAGAGGAACCAAGGAGAAUGACUGUGAACCGGCCUAAGAAAGAGUCG
Molecule: long non-coding RNA, 366 nt
Filed under: Linum usitatissimum (flax)
Lineage: Eukaryota; Viridiplantae; Streptophyta; Magnoliopsida; Malpighiales; Linaceae
Description: long non-coding RNA (LUSI_LNC001407)
Source: RNAcentral